Molecule: long non-coding RNA, 5282 nt
Filed under: Linum usitatissimum (flax)
Lineage: Eukaryota; Viridiplantae; Streptophyta; Magnoliopsida; Malpighiales; Linaceae
Description: long non-coding RNA (LUSI_LNC006117)
Source: RNAcentral
CUAUCCUACAAGUUUAUGAGUUAACUAAGCCUAAAAAUCACCUUUCUUCCAUCAAGAAGUCUGCUUGGAAGCAAGUUGCCACCAUUACUUUCGAUCAAGAAGAUGAUGAUGAUACCAGUCCGAAAGCGCCGGAGGUGAUGUCAUAUGAUGGGCUUCUAUUCUUCGAUGGACAUGGAAGAGUCGAGGGACAAGAAGCGCUGACCAUGCUUGCCAAACAUUUGAAGGAGUUACACUUGUUAGUGAGUCCUGAAGGGUAUUGCUUCCAAGACGUAUUCGGUCUUGGACUCUACUCUAAUUAUGGGAUUCAUUAUCUUCGAUUGAACGAUCUGUUCAGCUGGCCUUUCCAUGGAGUAGAUCUUGCAACGAUGACCGAGUGGAGCCGGUUGGAGUUGAGGUACCAUCUUCCUAGACAGGGUACUAUUUCAAAGAGGACGGAUGUAGGUGGGGUGAGUAAGGAGAAGUAUGCAGAGUUGGAGAAGUUGGUAAAGGAAAAAGAUGAAGAACUAGACAAGUUGAAAUUCGCGGAUGAACGUAUUCGAAAGCAAUUAGAAAAGAAGGGCCAUCAAUUGCGGAUGCUUAACGAGAAGAAGGGGGUUGAUACAAGGAGGAUAGAAGAACUAGAAAAGCUUAACGAGGAAUUGGAGGAGGCAAAUGAAGUUAAAGACGAAGAAUUACGAAAAUUCGAAAAGAAGAAGAGGGCCGGUGAAGAGGCAAAAAGAAGGAAGAUAGAAGAACUAGAGAAGUUUAACGAGGAAUUGAAGGAGACAAAUGAAGCUAAAGACAAAGAAUUGCGAAAAUUCGAAAAGAAGAAGAGCGCCGGUAAAGAGGAAAAAAAGGAGGAUAGAAGAACUAGAGAAGCUUAACGAGGAAUUGAAGGAGGCAAAUGAAGCUAAAAACGAAGAAUUACGAAAAUUCGAAAAGAAGAAGAGCGCUGGUGAAGAGGAAAAAAGAAGGAAGAUAGAAGAAUUAGAAAAGUGUAACAAGGAAUUGGAAGAGGUGAAGAAAGAACUGAAAGAAUGUCAAAGGAAGUCAUGGGCAAUUCUGCCUUCCACUAAAUUCCUACCGUCGACAUUUGAUGCCAAAGAUAAAUAUCUAGCCACAAGACGGCGGGUUCCACCAGGAACAUUCGUAUGUGCUUCUGAGUUGAGAUUUCCUUUCGUGAGUAACUCUCGUAAAUUGGUGGAUAAAAUGUGUGUCGACGGAAUCAACAUUGUCCGAUUAGUUGACGAGGGAAGCAGUCCUUACGAAUGGCCACCUCCGCCAGCAAUUAGAGUGUGGGUCGGCAGGGGUGAUGGAGAUUUUGACAAGGACAACUGGUGGUAUUUAAAAACGACCCACCCUGAAGGCGGCUUGACGAUGCUGAUGUAUUAUGAUGGAAACCGUUCUCACUUAGGGUCCGACUAUUCUGCUGUUCCGUUGCCAUUUUCUAAGGGUAUUCUUGAGGCUUAUACGUAUACUCAUACAUUCACCCUCUUUACGCUCCAACCAUUUGGAGUGAGAUAUGGUCUCGCGUACCGGUCGAACUAGAGUUUGGCAUCGUUCAUUGGUUCCGCCGUCUGUGAAACAUCCUUCUGAGUGCGUGUUAUAUGUAUUUUUCCUUUUGCAGAUUGUGUCGUGAUUUUUCGUAUCGUGUAAUUUGAAUUGAAAUAUUAAUAAAUGAUUGGUUUGCUUAUAUUGCUCGACCUCUUAGGGAUAAGAUUGGCUUUCACGUACCGACCGUAGUGGGUGGAAGUGUUCACUUGCAAGUUGCAACACACAUGCUUAACCCAGAAUCGAAAUCCGAAAAGUUCAGUUUGUUUGGGUUUAUCAGAGUCCACAUAUAUGACAUUGACUCCAUAUGUAGACUAUAAGAGAAGUGAAGUGAAGAUACCUCUUUUGACCCAUUUCCUUUCUCUACCAUCCUCUUGCUCUUUAUGUUCAUUGCCGCAUCAUCUCUUGCUAUCCAUAGAAAAUGUUUCCGAGACCGCAACUCAUCACCCUUUAUUCUGCAGACAGACUUGUUCUUGAUCUUGACCAACUCCAUCUGUUUGAUAUUUGCCACACUAUAAGACAGAUCAAAAUAAUAUGCUGCAUUUAAGGAUAGUCAAGAUAAACUGCUUACUCCAUACUUAUUUCAGAAAAUGUUCAAAAUAAGUUUGCAAAGAAUCAACCAAGCCGCAUCAAAGCAAAAGUAAGCAUGUCGUUAUAUAGCAUCGAAGUCAGUAGUGCGUAGAUUGAAACUGCAAUACUGAAGGCUACAUUUCUUAAUUUAUGCUCUAGGAAGCCUGAUGGAGAGUCCAAACUAACUCCAGAAUAGCAAAGCCAAAACCAUUUGUUUUUGGUACCUCUUCUUCCUAUGGUUGAUAUCGUUAUUGGUACCUCUUCUUCCCAUACUAAUGGGCAGCAGAAGUGCUCUGGCCGAUGCCUGGAAGACCAGCGAUCCUUGCUGCUCCAGUUCAAACAUAGCCUCACUUUCGACCAAUCAUUAUCAGGAAAGCUGGCAAGGUGGAAUGCAAGCGCUGACUGUUGCCAGUGGCCUGGCAUAAGUUGUGAUCCCGGUGGCCUCGGUCACGUUACCGGCCUCAACUUGAGCGAUGGAUACAUCACCGGAGGCGGAGGACUAGACACCUCCUCAGCUCUCUUCAGUCUUCGGCACCUUGAGGACCUGAAUUUGUCCGGAAACUACUUCAAUACCAAUUUUCCGGCUGCACUUGCCAACCUCACCAAUUUGAGGUAUCUGGACUUAUCUUAUGCUGGCUUCUCCGGGCAAUGCCCGCUUCCAUCUCUCAGUUGAAGCUCCAGUCCCUAUCGGUAGAUGACAUCACCUUCUCCUCUCCAAUUCCUGAUUUCUUCAUGAAUUUCAAAAACUUGGCUAGCUUGAGUCUAAGCCAUUGCGGGUUGAGCGGAACAUUUCCCGCAAAGCUACUCCAAAACCUGACUGAACUAAGUUAUUUGGAUUUCUCUUACAACAACUUCAUUGGUCAAAUUCCGUCACUAGGCUGCUUCUCCAAGUAUCUCACACAUUUAGACCUCUCCAACAAUAAAUUCGCGGGUAAUAUACCAACUCAGUGAUUUUCAGAUGCUUACUUACAUUAACCUCACGGACAAUGCCUUCAACGGAAGCAUCCCACCAUCUUUAUUCGCCAUUCCAUCCUUGCAGUUUAUCAGCCUAUCCUACAACCAAUUUCAAGGUCAGGCUCCAGAGUACCCAAAUGUUACUUCUUCGGCUCUUGAAACAUUAGGUUUGAGUCACAACAAUUUGGAAGGCUCAAUCCCUCGUUCCCAUUUUGAAAUUCGUACACUUGAAACUCUUCCACUUGGAUCUAAUAGAUUCACUGGAAUCGUACAAUUAACUUGGAUUCAAAAGCUCCAAAAUCUACACUACCUUUUUCUUUCAGACAACAACCUGACAGUGGAUGCAAGCGACACCAACUUGUCCACCUUGUCCAAGUUUCCCCAAUUCUCCACAUUGAAAUUGGCAUCAUGCAAUCUGAGAAAAUUUCCAAUGUUAGGCAACCAAUCAAGGUUAGAAGUUCUAGAUCUUUCGAACAACUUUAUUGAUGGGGUAAUACCUCGUUGGAUUCUAGAAUCAUCUACUGUACAAAAUCUCAAUCUUUCGCAUAACAAUCUGAUGGGCUUUGAGAUACAGCAUAUUUAUCUUCCUCAUCUUGAAUCCUUGGACAUACAUGACAACAAACUCCAUGGAGACAUUCCAAUCAUUUUAUCAACGUUGUCCUACGUAGACUACUCCAACAAUCUUUGCAAUGGUUCCAUUCCGGCUGAAAUCAGAAAUUACCUUUCCUUUCAAUUCUUCUCAGUAUCAAAUAAUAGCCUCGAAGGAGCGAUUCCAUUGAGUAUUUGCAAUGCUUCAGAUGUUCAAGUCCUUGAUUUGUCAAACAACCAUUUCAGUGGUACAAUUCCGGAAUGUUUGAUGAGGAACUUCUGGCUUAUGGUUUUAGAUUUGAAGGGCAAUAAGCUCAGUGGACACAUACCUGACGUAUUCCAAGCUUCAUGUUGGCUGCAAACUCUUGAUCUCAGUAACAACCAGUUGCAAGGAAAAGUUCCACAGUCUUUGGACAACUGUACAAUAUUAGCAGUCUUGGACCUUGGGAACAACAAAAUGUCUGAUGUCUUUCCCUGCUUCUUGGGAAACAAAUCUAGCUUGAGUGUUCUUAUCCUGAGGAACAACCUUUUCCAUGGGAGCAUGUCCUGUCACGAUGAUCUUCCUGGUGCUUGGCCAAAGCUUCAAGUUGUAGAUUUAGCUUCCAACCAUUUUUCGGGUCUCUUAAAACAGCAAGUUAUUAGCUAUGUGGGAAGCAAUGAUUGGAGACGAGAAGGGAAUCCAUGAUCACCCUAAAGAUCUACCUCGCCCACAGGAAACUAUGAAAAAUCCAUAACUGUCAUCAACAAGGGUGUCAAGAUGGUACUUGUCAAGAUAGUCCUGACAAUGUUCAGAUCUAUUGAUUUCUCAAGCAAUAAUUUUCAUGGGCCAUUACCAGAAGUGAUAGGAGAAUUUGGUGCUCUUGUUGCCCUCAAUUUCUCCCACAAUGCUUUCAUGGGCCAGAUCCCAUCAAUGUUUGGCCGUUUAUCAAACCUAGAGUCUCUGGAUCUCUCCCACAACAAGCUCAGUGGACAGAUCCCAACAGAGUUAGCAAGCCCGACUUUCCUCUCACUCCUGAAUCUGUCAGAGAAUCAUCUGGUUGGAAAAAUUCCGACGGAUAGCCAGUUCCACACAUUUGACAACACUUCCUUUGAAGGUAAUCCAUAUUUGUGCGGAUCUCCUUUGUCCAAAACUUGCAAUCCAAUUCAUCAAGAAGCUACUGCCAGCCAUGAUGAUAAAUCCACUACAAGAAUCAACUGGGACAUCCUAAGCAAAGCAUUUGGAUAUAUUUUCGGAUUAGGUCUUGUCAUGUUACCAGCUGCACUAUGGCCGAGCUUUCGAAUUUGGUACUGGCCAAAGAUUGAUUCUUUACUCCUAUGGAUGUUCCCAAAGUUAUAUGUGAAGGGCUGGAACAAUCGCCUCAGGACAAGGCAAGGCCAGCGGCGUAGCAAGAAAGCAAUCACUAGUUAGUGACUUCCCUAUAUUUUCUUAUGCCCUGUCUAGUUUUAUAUAUAUUAUGAUGCUUAACCAAUAAGUUUUUCAUAUAGAAUGAAAUACAAAACACACAAUAUCCUAUUUGAAUUCUGUGCAUUUGGGCAUCUGGUGGAUUAAUAGUUUAAUACUGUAAUCGUAAUUAACAUAUGCCAAAGUUACGGGACGAACCUUUGAAGAAUCUUGAUGGCAUUACAUGUGCUCCUUGGGG